UAGGGCUUCACACGUCAUACAAUGGUGCAUACAGAGGGUUGCCAAGCCGCGAGGUGGAGCUAAUCCCAGAAAAUGCAUCGUAGUCCGGAUCGUAGUCUGCAACUCGACUACGUGAAGCUGGAAUCGCUAGUAAUCGCGGAUCAGCAUGCCGCGGUGAAUACGUUCCCGGGUCUUGUACACACCGCCCGUCACACCAUGGGAGUGGGCUUUACCAGAAGUAGUUAGCCUAACCGCAAGGAGGGCGAUUACCACGGUAGGGUUCAUGACUGGGGUGAAGUCGUAACAAGGUAACC
RNAcentral lists this ribosomal RNA (293 nucleotides) under uncultured bacterium. RNAcentral describes it as "partial 16S ribosomal RNA". It matches the Rfam family "Bacterial small subunit ribosomal RNA", at positions 1209 to 1501 of the family's 1533-position model. The record is from RNAcentral.